RNAcentral lists this long non-coding RNA (401 nucleotides) under Nicotiana benthamiana. RNAcentral describes it as "long non-coding RNA (NBEN_LNC017673)". The record is from RNAcentral. Lineage: Eukaryota; Viridiplantae; Streptophyta; Magnoliopsida; Solanales; Solanaceae.
AUCUUGUCUGCUCAACCCUGGUAUCACAAGACUCUGGCCAUCUAUUUUUGCAACAGGUUGAUGCCUUUUAGGAGGAUUCCCUUGAGGAACAGAUAAAAUUCCUUCAGAAUGAGGAAAAUCCAGACCAGUACUAAGAUGAGCAGCAGCAGGUCUCCUCCCAUUGUUAAAAUUUGUAUUUUGUGGAUACCCAUGGGUCUUGAAACACUUAUCAAUUAAGUGUCCAGAUUUUUUACAGUAUCUACAGAAUAAAGGUCCUCUUGCCUGGUCAAAAUUGACCCUCUGUCUGAAAGGAGAAGGAGGAAUAAGCACUGUGGCCUUGUUAAAUCCAACAGGCUGCCUAUUAGUAUGGACAUUGAAAGAGACAGAGUCUGGAUUAAAGUGAGAAGAAGACUGAACUNNNN